GGCGAACGGGUGAGUAAUGCAUCGUGCCCAGUCGUGGGGGAUAACGCAGCGAAAGCUGUGCUAAUACCGCAUACAAUCUAUGGAUGAAAGCGGGGGACCUUCUGGCCUCGCGCGAUUGGAGCGGCCGAUGUUAGAUUAGGUAGUUGGUGGGGUAAAGGCUCACCAAGCCAACAAUCUAUAGCUGGUCUGAGAGGACGACCAACCACACUGGAACUGAGACACGGUCCAGACUCCUACGGGAGGCAGCAGUGGGGAAUUUUGGACAAUGGGCGAAAGCCUGAUCCAGCAAUACCGCGUGCAGGAAGAAGGCCCUCGGGUUGUAAACUGCUUUUGUACGGAACGAAACGGCGCGCUCUAAUAAAGUGCGCUAAUGACGGUACCGUAAGAAUAAGCACCGGCUAACUACGUGCCAGCAGCCGCGGUAAUACGUAGGGUGCGAGCGUUAAUCGGAAUUACUGGGCGUAAAGCGUGC
RNAcentral lists this ribosomal RNA (472 nucleotides) under uncultured Comamonadaceae bacterium. Its description in RNAcentral is "bacterial SSU rRNA". It matches the Rfam family "Bacterial small subunit ribosomal RNA", at positions 97 to 570 of the family's 1533-position model. Lineage: Bacteria; Pseudomonadati; Pseudomonadota; Betaproteobacteria; Burkholderiales; Comamonadaceae. The record is from RNAcentral.